Molecule: ribosomal RNA, 1433 nt
Filed under: seawater metagenome
Description: bacterial LSU rRNA
Rfam family: Bacterial large subunit ribosomal RNA
Source: RNAcentral
GAAUAUAGGGGGACCACCCUCUAAGCCUAAAUACUCUUCAGUGACCGAUAGUGAACUAGUACCGUGAGGGAAAGGUGAAAAGAACCCCUAUUAGGGGAGUGAAAUAGAACCUGAAACUGCAUGCCUACAAUCAGUCCGAGCCCUUUUUAGGGUGAGGGCGUACCUUUUGUAUAAUGGGUCAGUGACUUAAUUUAUUAAGCAAGCUUAAGCCAUCUAGGUGUAGGCGCAGCGAAAGCAAGUCUUAAUAGGGCGAUUAGUUUAAUGAAUUAGACCCGAAAACGAAUGAGCUUACCAUGAGCAGGUUGAAAGUUGGGUAACACCAACCGGAGGACCGAACCAGUUGACGUUGAAAAGUCUUUGGAUGACUUGUGGUAAGGGGUGAAAGGCCAACCAAAUUCGUAGAUAGCUGGUUUUCCGCGAAAACUAUUUAGGUAGUGCGUCGAAUAAAUAGAUGUUUAGAGGUAGAGCACUAAAUGGGCUAGGGGGAAGAGAUUCUUACCAAACCUAAUAAAACUCCGAAUGCUAGACAUUGUUCUUCGGCAGACAGACUGUGGGUGCUAAGGUCCAUGGUCGAGAGGGAAAGAGCCCAGACCACCAGAUAAGGUCCCAAAAUCAUGAUUAAGUGUGAAAGGAUGUGGAAAUUCCUUAACAGCCGGGAGGUUGGCUUAGAAGCAGCCAUCCUUUAAAGAUAGCGUAACAGCUCACCGGUCUAAUAGAGUUUCUGCGCCGAAGAUGUAACGGGGCUAAAAUCAUGUACCGAAUCUGUGGCUUUGCAAAGUUUUCGAACUUUGUAAGGGGUAGCGGAACGUUCUGUAAGCCUGCGAAGGGAUACCCGUGAGGGAUCCUGGAGGUAUCAGAAGUGCGAAUGCUGACAUAAGUAACGAUAAACGAAGUGAAAAACUUCGUCGCCGAAAAUCUAAGGGUUUCUAUGCAAGGUUAAUCCGCGUAGAGUUAGUCGGCACCUAAGGCGAGGGCGAAAGCCGUAGUCGAUGGAAACAAGGUUAAUAUUCCUUGACCUGAUGGUAGUGACGGAUUUCGUAAGUUGUGAGUUCUUAAUGGAUUGAACUUGCCGCGAAGAGGUCCCAAGAAAUAGCUCCAUCAUGAAGACCGUACCCGAAACCGACACAGGUAGAUUAAUAGAGUAUAUUUAGGCGCUUGAGAGAAUGAUGUUGAAGGAACUCGGCAAAAUGCUUCCGUAACUUCGGGAUAAGGAAGACCCUUUUGUAGGCAACUAUGGAAGGGUGGCACAAGCCAGGGAGAAGCGACUGUUUAUCAAAAACACAGGGCUCUGCUAACACGUAAGUGGAUGUAUAGGGUCUGACGCCUGCCCGGUGCUGGAAGGUUAAUGCGGUUGGUGCAAGCUAACUUCUGAAGCCCCAGUAAACGGCGGCCGUAACUAUAACGGUCCUAAGGUAGCGAAAUUCCUUGUCGGG